AGUAAAAGUCGUAACAAGGUUUCUGUAGGUGAACCUGCAGAAGGAUCAUUAGUGAAGAUUUGGGCAGGCCAUACGGACGCCAAAAAGUGUCCCUGGCCGCCUACACCCACUAUACAUCCACAAACCCGUGUGCACUGUCUUGGAGAAAGGCUUCAGAGAAGUUUUUUGCGGCCUCUCUUGGGGUCUUUCUUCGCUACAAACUCGAAUGGUUAGUAUGAACGUGGAACUUGGUUGGACCGUCACUGGCCAACAAACUAUACACAACUUUCGACAACGGAUCUCUUGGUUCUCCCAUCGAUGAAGAACGCAGCGAAACGCGAUAGGUAAUGUGAAUUGCAGAAUUCCGUGAAUCAUCGAAUCUUUGAACGCACCUUGCGCUCUAUGGCAAUCCGUAGAGCAUGCCUGUUUGAGUGCCAUGAAAUCUCCCACCCCAAGCGGUUUUUAAAUGAAACGGCUUGGCGGAUGGGGCCUGGAUGGGUGCCUCUGCCUGCGCUACCUAGCACAGGCUCGCCCGAAAUGCAUGAGCGCCUUGAGACACUUUGCAUCCGCCUCUCUGUUUGGGAGGAGGCGGCCAAGCAGUGUUUUUCUCCUGGCAUGGCAUGAUACGUCAUUUGCUAUGUCGCCUAAAGGAGGAAUGUUUGGUUGUGUCUGCGUGUGCUUCGAACUUGCCUCUGUGGCACAUCCCAAUUUCACUUCUGGUCUCAAAUCAGGUAGGAUCACCCGCUGAACUUAAGCAUAUCAAUA
RNAcentral lists this ribosomal RNA (744 nucleotides) under uncultured eukaryote. RNAcentral describes it as "eukaryotic LSU rRNA". The stretch from base 263 to 416 matches the Rfam family "5.8S ribosomal RNA". The record is from RNAcentral.